This 471-nucleotide unclassified non-coding RNA is filed under the name Hevea brasiliensis (rubber tree). Lineage: Eukaryota; Viridiplantae; Streptophyta; Magnoliopsida; Malpighiales; Euphorbiaceae. The record is from RNAcentral.
CAAGAAUCAGUAACCAGAAAUCGAAACUUAAAGAUGUGUCCCAAUUGAGAGAGCGAGAGGGUGCGUGCGUGCGUGUGUUAGAGUUCAAAAGCCUUGCCCACGGAUUAGGGCUCUUAAAUCUCUCUUUAUAUUAUCCUAGUGCAAGUGGAUUUUCAAGUGAGGGAAAAAGGUUGCUUUUGUUGUAGAUUCUGCGUUGGAUUGGGCUGCGAAUGGGUGAAGAAGAAACAGUAACCAAAGUUUCUGAGGUAGUUGAAAAUGGGACUAGUGCACCAGAGAAAUCUGUUAAUAUUGUGACAGAGAAAAUGGAAGAGGAAAGUAGUGAAUUGAAAGCAAUGGAUGAAGAUAAACUUAAUAAUGAGAAAGUUGAGGCUGAGAAGAUGGAUGAAGACCCCAAGGUGAAUGAAGAAAAGGAAAGCCAAGAAGAUGAAGAAAAAGGAAAGGAGGAACCCAAAACUGUAGUGGAGGAAAAAA